UCUGAGGUGGCGACCGGCGCACGGGUGAGUAACACGUAUGCAACCUGCCUGUAAGCGGGGAAUAACCCGUCGAAAGACGGACUAAUACCGCAUAAUACUAAAUUACUGCAUGGUAAUUUAUUUAAACAUUUAUGGCUUACAGAUGGGCAUGCGCAUGAUUAGCUAGUUGGAGAGGUAACGGCUCCCCAAGGCAACGAUCAUUAGGGGUUCUGAGAGGAAGGUCCCCCCACACUGGUACUGAGACACGGACCAGACUCCUACGGGAGGCAGCAGUGAGGAAUAUUGGUCAAUGGACGAGAGUCUGAACCAGCCAAGUCGCGUGCAGGAAGAAUUGUCCUAUGGAUUGUAAACUGCUUUUGCAGGGGAAUAAAGUGCAUCACGUGUGAUGUUUUGUAUGUACUCUGCGAAUAAGGAUCGGCUAACUCCGUGCCAGCCGCCGC
Molecule: ribosomal RNA, 440 nt
Filed under: uncultured bacterium
Lineage: Bacteria
Description: bacterial SSU rRNA
Rfam family: Bacterial small subunit ribosomal RNA
Source: RNAcentral